This 254-nucleotide ribosomal RNA is filed under the name uncultured bacterium. RNAcentral describes it as "partial 16S ribosomal RNA". It matches the Rfam family "Bacterial small subunit ribosomal RNA", at positions 524 to 776 of the family's 1533-position model. The record is from RNAcentral.
UACAGGGGGGGGCAAGCGUUGUUCGGAAUUACUGGGCGUAAAGGGCCAGUAGGCGGCCAACUAAGUCACACGUGAAAUCCCCAGGCUUAACCUGGGAACUGCGUGUGAUACUGGAUGGCUUGAAUUCGGGAGAGGGAUGCAGAAUUCCAGGUGUAGCGGUGAAAUGCGUAGAUAUCUGGAGGAAUACCGGUGGCGAAGGCGGCAUCCUGGACCGACAUUGACGCUGAACGGCGAAAACUAGGGGAGCAAACGGG